UACGGGGGGGGCAAGCGUUGUUCGGAAUUACUGGGCGUAAAGGGCUCGUAGGUGGCCAACUAAGUCAGACGUGAAAUCCCUCGGCUUAACCGGGGAACUGCGUCUGAUACUGGAUGGCUUGAGAUUGGGAGAGGGAUGCGGAAUUCCAGGUGUAGCGGUGAAAUGCGUAGAUAUCUGAAGGAACACCGGUGGCGAAGGCGGCAUCCUGGACCAACACUGACGCUGAGGAACGAAAGCCAGGGGAGCAAACGGG
Molecule: ribosomal RNA, 253 nt
Filed under: uncultured bacterium
Lineage: Bacteria
Description: partial 16S ribosomal RNA
Rfam family: Bacterial small subunit ribosomal RNA
Source: RNAcentral